UUGUCUUCUUUCCAGGUCUUCACAGGAGAGAAGAGGUCUUGUGGGAAGCCUCCUCUGUUCAUCUUCCUGAGAGUUCCUUUUUACUCCAGUUCAAGUAUUUUUGUGGUCAGGUGUUUUCUCUUUCGCCAGACUGAGGGCUUACGCAGUGCUCAAACCGACUUAUGCCUUGUCUGAAAAUAUAGAAAUCCCCAGAUCCCUUUAAAUGAUGCUUGUCCUGCACUGCAGCUGUGGAAACAACAAAGAGGGCCAGGUCAAAAAUAAAAGAUUUCUCAAGACUCACUGCGUCACUACUUCAUGAUUCCUGGUGGUUCCCAAGGCCUUCACAAACCGGACCCUCCACACACACUCCGUCAUGGUGUGAACUCUGUUUGACGUCACGGCCACAGCUGAAUGAAGCACCCUUCAAGCAGGUUUUGAAAUGCACUCCCCUCACUCACUAGAAAUGUAUGUAACGUGUUACAUGUGGCACAAAUGUUUCGUGGUUUCCAUAAGUACCCGCAAAGUAGACUCAUUGAA
Molecule: long non-coding RNA, 516 nt
Organism: Notolabrus celidotus (New Zealand spotty)
Lineage: Eukaryota; Metazoa; Chordata; Actinopteri; Labriformes; Labridae
Exons: 3
Source: RefSeq, a predicted model, not a curated record